This 16-nucleotide ribosomal RNA is filed under the name Polymyxa graminis. Its description in RNAcentral is "partial 18S ribosomal RNA". Lineage: Eukaryota; Endomyxa; Phytomyxea; Plasmodiophorida; Plasmodiophoridae. The record is from RNAcentral. RNAcentral also lists the same sequence under 1 other name.
CUGCGGAAGGAUCAUA